CCCUUAGACGUUCUGGGCCGCACGCGCGCUACACUGACCAGUGCAACAAGCAUCCGUCCUUGGCCGACAGGCCCGGGCAAUCUUUGAACGCUGGUCGUGAUGGGGAUAGACUUUUGCAAUUUUUGGUCUUCAACGAGGAAUUCCUAGUAAACGCAAGUCACCAACUUGCAUUGAUUACGUCCCUGCCCUUUGUACACACCGCCCGUCGCACCUACCGAUUGAAUGGUCCGGUGAAGCCUCCGGAUUGGCGCGCACCUCGGUGCCGCCGAGAAGUUGGCUAAACCUUACCAUUUAGAGGAAGGUGAANUCGUAACA
RNAcentral lists this ribosomal RNA (315 nucleotides) under uncultured eukaryote. Its description in RNAcentral is "partial 18S ribosomal RNA". It matches the Rfam family "Eukaryotic small subunit ribosomal RNA", at positions 1470 to 1796 of the family's 1831-position model. The record is from RNAcentral.